Nothobranchius furzeri (turquoise killifish) is the source of this 2288-nucleotide non-coding RNA. Lineage: Eukaryota; Metazoa; Chordata; Actinopteri; Cyprinodontiformes; Nothobranchiidae. The record is from RefSeq and is a predicted model, not a curated record.
AGUGAGCAAAAAGGCUUAUAUUAUUCACUGGAGUUGCUAUUUAGAUAUUUAAUAAUUAAGUUUUGGGCAUAUUUGUCCACCCGUUCAGUUUUUCAAAUUAUCUAUUAAAUCAGUAAUUAAUUUCGUCAGGAUAACUACCAAAUAUGGUAAUGGCCCUCGGCUAAACACAGAGCCAAUCCGCCAUUUUUUCAUCUCGCUAAGAUUUUUUGUAGUCCUAUUGGAAAAAUGCAGAAUGUCUGGUUAUUUUAGCCACACACAGCUCAAAACUGUUCCUCGUUUUAAGGAAGGGUGGUGUGGCAGUAUUUAAACCCAGGAGCUGAUGACACUACUGCUAAAAAAAAAACAGAAGAAAAAGUAGUAUGUGUGUGUGUGUGUGUGUGUGUGUGUGUGUGUGUGUGUGUGUGUGUGUGUGUGCGCGCGCGCGCGCGCGCGUGGUUCGUUCGUGUCUCCUGGCUAGUAAGUACCGAGGGCUUCAUCUAUCUAAAAGGAGUCAUUCCCAUCUGAAUGUGGUAGCACCGGGACACAGCAGCAGAGCGAGUCCACAUCCAGAAGUCUGGAGCCGUGUUUCACUGACAGGCUGUCAGACUAACGCCCUGAUGAGCUCAGCUGGGACAAACUGGUCUGAUGUUUAGGAACACAGAACACUCAGAUGUUGGAGCUCACGUCACCUACUGAGGAAGGAGACCCACCAGUAAAGAGACGGUCUGGACCAGACCAAAAAUAUGGCGAUGACAUCAUGGAACUGGUCUUUGGAAAAGUUUUCCCUGAACCAACUCCGUUUCUAGAUGAGGUAGAGAAGAUCUGCAUCUCACCAACCCUCUGGUCUCAGUAUUCAGACAACGGAGGUCUCCCACUGUUAUCCAGGACCAGUUUGAAGCCCACAUACUUCCCCUCCCUCAUCAUCAGGAAACAUCAAUCCGUAUCCUGAGGACAACAGAAGACGGCAGGAGGACAGGAACUCUGAGACCUAGAUACCACCAGCACCGGGACACAAAGCACCUGUGUGCACAACGCCUGUUUAACUACUAAAGCCAGUUUAUUAUAUAGUUCUACUUAUUUGCUGUGAGGUUAAUACUUAGAAAAUUUGUAUAUUAAUGUAAACAAUUUAAAAAAUCACUGAUUGUAUGUUUUCUUUUAGAUGUAAUGGUCCAAACUCAGCCUUGUAGACAUUUAUUGCAUCCUGUAGGUAAAUACACAGAACAGGCUCAGAUCCAGGAUGACCCAGCAUGCUCUUCUUCCAUUCUGGCUGUUAGGGAUUGUAUCAAUAACUCAAUGCCUACUGAUGUUUCCACCUAACGGUAUUUAUUUAGAAUGCAGGUAAGAUUUAACUAUAUUUGUUAGCAAAGCAGACUGAUCUUGGGAAUUUCACUGCAGCACUGAUGUCCACCUCUCUGUACACAUUAGAGAGAAUUACCACUUUACAGCUAAACACAUUUAAUAAAGAUAUAGGCUACGCAUUGCAGACAAUAAAAACAAAGUUCUAAGCAUUAGAAUUAUAAUGAUCACAUUAAAGAACAUUUGGAGGAAUGUUCUUUAUUUUUGACUAGAAUCUCAAAUCUUUAAAUUAAAAUGUAACUGCUUUUUAUCCAUUUUCAGCCAUUAAGACACCCAAUAUUAAAUAAGACUACUUAUAAAAUUAUUUAUAAUUAUAUGUAUGUAUAUAUAUAUAGAUAGAGAUCUUAAUAAAAUAUAUUUUAAUGGUGUUUUAAUGAGCUGUAUCAUUUUUUAAAACAUUUUUUAUAGAAAUAAAUAAGCAAGCAGCAUUCCUUGUGUGUGUGCGCGUGCGCGAGCCUGCUCGCUUGUCUCGUCGGCCGUGACGGAUGUGUGUGUGUGUGUGCGCGCACGUGCCUGCUCACUUGUCCCUCCGUCGGCCGUGACGGGUGUGUGUGAGUGACUACAGACAAAUGCAUGAGAGAGUUAGCAGCCUUGAAACAGCUUGAUGAACUACUCUCCCCACAUGUUUUAAAAAUGCUAAUAUGCUAUGCUAAAUCUGCUAUGCUAAAUAAUGAUUUCUCUAUAGAACUACAAAGUCCGGCUGGGGGAGGAGAGUACAGGUCUGCACUAUGGAGGGGGGCGGAGUUUACAGCUCCUCCUCCAGUUUAAAGAGACAGUACCCAAAAACGGCUCGUUCUCAAGACUCUCCUCAGAACAGGGGUAGAUGAGGGUCUGUAGAGCAACAAUAAUGAGGAAAUCAGACCAAAGAACUGCAGUUCCACUGUUUUUAGACCCCCAACUGAAGGAUUUAGAUGUAAAAAGGAAUAACUUAAAAGCAUGUUAUGUCUCCUUUA